Molecule: unclassified non-coding RNA, 22 nt
Filed under: Chlamydomonas reinhardtii
Lineage: Eukaryota; Viridiplantae; Chlorophyta; Chlorophyceae; Chlamydomonadales; Chlamydomonadaceae
Description: small RNA Cre_2384
Source: RNAcentral
UAUGAUUGGUAAUGCUUUGCAU